ACAUUUUUAUGUUCCUAUUUUGUUUUAAAAAAAUCUUCUUUGGCUUAAUUAAAAAAUCCACUUUAGUAUUUUUAUCUGCCUCAUAGUCAAACUCACCAGACUUUACACAAAUGUCUGGUGGUCCUUAGAAGUCUACUUAUGGUUAAGAAUGGUAUCCUAAACAGAUGUUUGUUUUAAUCCCAUGGCCCAUUCCAGAUGACUUGGGAAGUCUGCCAUACUCUGUAAGUGACUGCACACCAGAGUUUGGAAACAGAAUGAAAAACAGCUCGAAUUAUCCAUGUGUUCAGAGCACAUGAGUUGGAGGUGGGCUUUAAAUGCCAGACUCCAGGAAAGACUUAGCUGAAUUGCAGAAGGCUAGAAGCAGAAUUAGAACAACUAUUAGAAGGUCAUCUCCUCCAGCCCUGGCCUCACUGGAUGAAUUCCCUAAACAAUGGACAUUUGUGCUGUUUCCACUACUGUAGGGGUCUGUUUGUUUGAACAUUUAUUCUGAUUGAACUUCAUUCUGUAAAUACUGAAUGUGUACUGAAUAUUGGAAUAUAGAUAAAUAAUGUAUUCUUUC
RNAcentral lists this long non-coding RNA (559 nucleotides) under Homo sapiens (human). Its description in RNAcentral is "HSALNT0179464". The record is from RNAcentral. Lineage: Eukaryota; Metazoa; Chordata; Mammalia; Primates; Hominidae.